AAACUAACUAGGAUGCCUUCAGUAACGGCGAGCGAAGCAGGCAUAGCUCAAAUUUGUAAUCUGGCACCUUUGGUGUCCGAGUUGUAUUUUCUAGAAGCGAGUUUGGUGACAGCUCCUACCCAAGUCCGUUGGAACGCGGCGUCAUGGAGGGUGAGAAUCCCGUGAAUGGUAGGAUGUCUGCUGCUGUGUAAACCGCCUUCGAAGAGUCGAGUUGUUUGGGAAUGCAGCUCUAAUUGGGAGGUAAAUUUCUUCUAAAGCUAAAUAUUGGCCAGAGACCGAUAGCGAACAAGUAGAGUGAUCGAAAGAUGAAAAGAACUUUGAAAAGAGAGUUAAACAGUACGUGAAAUUGUUGAAAGGGAAGCGCUUGAGAUCAGACUUCCUGUCUGGACUGUCCUUGCUUAUGCUUGGGUCAACAGUCCAGGCGUGGAGGCCAGCAUCAGUUUUGACGGCCGGAUAAAGGCUUUGGAAAGGUAGCUCCCCUCGGGGAGUGUUAUAGUCCAGAGUGUAAUACGGCCAGUUGGGACUGAGGACCGCGGCUUUGCCUAGGAUGCUGGCGUAAUGGUCUUAAGCGAC
RNAcentral lists this ribosomal RNA (573 nucleotides) under Taphrina sp. Its description in RNAcentral is "partial large subunit ribosomal RNA". It matches the Rfam family "Eukaryotic large subunit ribosomal RNA", at positions 62 to 648 of the family's 3401-position model. Lineage: Eukaryota; Fungi; Ascomycota; Taphrinomycetes; Taphrinales; Taphrinaceae. The record is from RNAcentral.